CCGGCGACCGGCGCACGGGUGAGUAACACGUAUGCGACCUGCCCCCCGCAGGGGGAUGACCGGGAGAAAUCCCGACUAAUACCGCGUAACGCCGCGGACCUGCAUGGGUCUGCGGCCAAAGGAAGCGAUUCCGGCGGGGGAUGGGCAUGCGGCGCAUUAGCUAGUCGGCGGGGUAACGGCCCACCGAGGCGACGAUGCGUAGGGGUUCUGAGAGGAAGGUCCCCCACACUGGUACUGAGACACGGACCAGACUCCUACGGGAGGCAGCAG
Molecule: ribosomal RNA, 270 nt
Filed under: uncultured bacterium
Lineage: Bacteria
Description: partial 16S ribosomal RNA
Rfam family: Bacterial small subunit ribosomal RNA
Source: RNAcentral